GCGCACCGGAACGCCGCGGCCGGCGCUCCGUCCAUCCGGCCCGUGGGCUGUGGGGCUCCGGGCGGCGGCGGCGGCUAUGUAGCUGCCGCCGGCCUUGGCCUUGGCCGUGGCCGGGCGGGCGGAUAUGUGGCUUAAAUGGCGCAGGCGUCGGGGCCUAGAGGCUGAAGGGCUGGUCGUCCUAAAAACUAGUGGACGUCGUGCACGGUUACCCGGACGCAGGCCCGCCCCUUCGGGGAACCGCGAGCUCCUCGCAGCUGGUUGGGGACCGUCCUCGCAGUGGCGGCCUCCACCCUGGCUUCUCGCUUAGCCAAGGCUUCUGGAAGGCUCGCAAAGUGUCUGUUGUUGGAAGAAGCCGGGCCCUGACUGGCGCGACGGAUUCGCCCAGCCGCUCAGCAGAGCGUCUGUAGGUCGGAAGUGGGGGGUUAUAUUGGAAUAUGCUUUUUGUCUAAUGAUGUUAGAUAAAAAGCAAAUUGGAGCAGUUUUCUUAUUCGAGUUCAAAAUGGGUCAUAAAGCAGCGAAGACAACUCAAAACAUCAGUAACACAUUUGGCCCAGGAACUGCUAACAAACAUACAGUGCAGUGGUGGCUUAAGAAGUUUUGCAAAGAAGAGAGCCUUGAAGGUGAGGAACGUGAUAUGGGCUAUGGGAAGUUGACAACGACCAAUUGAGAGCAAUCAUUGAACUACAUGAAAAAUUACAGAAGAACUCAGCGUUGACUAUUCUACGGUCAUUAGGGUCGUUCAGCAUUUGAAGCAAAUUGGAAAAACUAUCAUUUUGAAGUGUAGUCUUCUUUUAUCCUAUGCAACAACAAACCAUUUCUCAAUCGGAUUGUGACAUGUAAUGAAAAGUGGAUUUUAUACAACAACCAGCUCAGUGGUUGGACCAAGAGGCAGCUCCAUAGCAGUUCCCAAAGCCAAACUUGCACCAAAAAAAGGUCACGGUCACUGUUUGGUGGUCUGCUGCCCAUCUGAUCCACUACAGUUUUCUGAAUCCUGGCGAAACCAUUACAUCUGAGAAGUAUGCUCAGCAAAUUGAUAAGAUGCACCAAAAACUGCAAUGCCUGCAGCCGGCAUUGGUCAACAGAAAGGGCCCAAUUCUUCUCCACGACAACACCUGACUGCAUGUCGCACAACCAGGGCUUCAAAAGUUGAAGGAAUUGGGCUACGAAGUUUUGCCUCAUCCAUCAUAUUCACCUGACCUUUCGCCAACUGACUACCACUUCUAGCAUCUUGACAACUUUUUGCAGGGAAAACACUUCAGCGGGAUGCAGAAAAUGCUUUCCAAGAGUUCGUCAAAUCCUGAAGCACGGAUUUUUAUGCUACAGGAAUAAACAUUUCUCAUUAGCAAAAAUGUGUUGAUUGUAAUGGUUCCCGUUUUGAUUAAUAUAAUGUGUUUUAGCUAGUUACAAUGAUUUAAAAUUUGCAGUCUGGAAAUUUAACUUUUGCUCCAACUUAAUAUUUCUAUGGUAAAUCCUUGCAAACAUGGAAACAAUGCAUUUGGCCCAGUGCUUUGUGGUUAUGUACUCUUUUUCUUUUUUUUUAAUAGAUGGCAUUGGCCGGGCAUGGUGGCUCAUGCCUGUAAUCCCAGCACUUUGGGAGGGUGAGGUGGAUGGAUCACCUGAGGUCAGGAGUUCAAGAACAGCCUGGCCAACAUGGUAAAACCCCGUCUCUACUAAAAACACAAAAAAAUUAGCUAGGCGUGGUGGCGGGCAUUUAAUUCCAGCUACUUAAUGAGGCUGCGACAGGAGAAUCAUUUGAACCCGGGAGGCGGAGGUUGCAGUGAGCCGAGAUCACGCCAUUGCACUCCAGCCUGGGCAAUGAGUGAAACUCUAUCUCAAAAAAAAAUAGUUGGGGUCUCGCUGUGUUGACUAGGUGGGUCUCGAACUCCUGGCAUCACGUGAUCCUCCCAUCUUGGCCUCCCAAAGUGUUAGGAUUACAGGCGUGAGCCACCGCACCCUGCCUGGUUGUGUACUCUUUCAAAUACUAAGUUUUUAAUGUUAAAUGCUGUUUCCAGAUACACUGUAAAAAUUCACCUAUCGAUGAGUUUUAUUAAAAACAUUGGAAUUGUACUAGACUUCAAAUACUAAGCAAUAAUUCAGGCUUCGAUGUUGGUUUAUAGUUUUCUCAUUUCUUUCAUUUAAUAGCUCUGUAAAAUGAAGCAGUUACUUCCGUUUUCCUGAGGUGCAGGAACUGUGGCCCAGAUAAGUUAAGUGCCCUGCACAAUGUUAUAGGUCCAGUAAGUGAGACUGGAGCUCUGAUCUAAUCCCUUUGACGUUAAAGUUUGUGCAGUAAACCAGCUAUGUCAGUUUGCCACAUUUGUAAUAGUAUUCAAUAAAUUUUCACUUAAAAGGUUUAAUAUUAAAGUAGUAGCAAGAAUUCAUAAACUUAAUUGGCUUUAACAGCUUUUCUUUCCCUGAAAACAGAUGCGUAUGUACACAUGUACACAGAUUGCUUAUAAUAUCAGCACAUGAAGUCGGCACUGCUUUGGUGCCUUUUUUUUUUUUUUUGGCUCGGUGUUUUGACUGCAAGUCUUUUUGGAUAGAACUUUAUAGUUAGAAAGUAGCUAACGCUUGGAUGGGUUUUAUAGGCACAAAAAACAAGUUUUAUACUAGCUGUACUUUAUUUUUUGAGUUCUUAUUAAUGAGGAGCAUCCAGUUUUGCAUUGACAGUGAUUUCAAGAUUGCUUUAUCAGCCUUUAAAGGAUUCUUGACUAGGCGUGCACAUCAGAACUGCCAGGUCCCCAGUGGUUCUGAGGCAGUAAGCUUUGGGUGGGCUCUGGCAUCAGCACUUUCACUGAGCUUCACAGAUAAUUCUGAUGCAUACUCCAGGCCUGAACCACUGAUCAAUUUGAAACAUGCGUAACAAAGCAAAAAAAGUUUUGUUUCACCUUUUGAAAUACAGUUAACUCUUUUACCAUGCCAGAGAUCAUUCAGAGAGACAGGUCCUUGCUCUGGAGUGAUGAUAUAUAUCUGGCAGUACCCAGCCCUUGUGUGUGUGCAUUAGCUCAGCACCUGCCCACACUGCGAGCCCCCGUAGGAUGUGCCUUGUCCUUCCCUGUUUCAGCCCUUAACACAAUACCUGGUACGGAGUAUGUAGUGGGCAUCUGUUGAAUGAAUGCUUUUCCCAGUAGCAGUGUAUUCAUACAAUAUUAAUAUAUUUGUCCCCUGGGUUACAGAUAAAAAUGAAAGCACCAAGUGCCCAGUGAGUGAGACCCAGGUGUUCUUCCUCCACCCCUAGUGGUCCCCUGGGCAGGUCUUUUUUUUUGUAACACUCAGUCUGUUCUGUAGUCAAUCAUUGAUUGACUUGUCUGUGAACUUGAGAGCAGGAACUGUUUCGUAGUUUCAUUAGCACAGAGCAAACAUGUUUGCCAUGCAAGGUUAUUUUGCAUCUGCAUUUAAGUGAUAAAUGUUGAGUCAAUGAAAAGUUUUGAUUAAGCAAUAGUUGUAGAUAUGCUAGGUUUUUCAAAUUACUAAUAUCAAGUGGAGAUUGUUUUUACUUUUAAGGGUAUUGCUUUUGUGAUAGCAUAAAUAAUGGUUUUCCUUUUUUUGUAAUGUAAAUUAACUGCUGGCAACUUUUGUAUUCCCAUAGACUGGGGAAGCUUAAUUGCCUUUAUAAGUACUUAUGUACAACUUUGUAUCAAAUUUCCUGUAAUAGUUUAUGCUUUAGUACUAUAUAUGUACUAAUAAUUUUAUCUGACUUCUGUUUAUAUCGUUUGUGCAAUUACAUGCUUGUAAAAUAAACUUUUAAACCUCA
Molecule: non-coding RNA, 3751 nt
Filed under: Pongo abelii (Sumatran orangutan)
Lineage: Eukaryota; Metazoa; Chordata; Mammalia; Primates; Hominidae
Source: RNAcentral